This 74-nucleotide transfer RNA is filed under the name Parcubacteria group bacterium ADurb.Bin115. Its description in RNAcentral is "tRNA-Lys". It matches the Rfam family "tRNA". From Rfam's summary of the family: Transfer RNA (tRNA) molecules are approximately 80 nucleotides in length. Their secondary structure includes four short double-helical elements and three loops (D, anti-codon, and T loops). Further hydrogen bonds mediate the characteristic L-shaped molecular structure. tRNAs have two regions of fundamental functional importance: the anti-codon, which is responsible for specific mRNA codon recognition, and the 3' end, to which the tRNAs corresponding amino acid is attached (by aminoacyl-tRNA synthetases). tRNAs cope with the degeneracy of the genetic code in two manners: having more than one tRNA (with a specific anti-codon) for a particular amino acid; and 'wobble' base-pairing, i.e. permitting non-standard base-pairing at the 3rd anti-codon position. The record is from RNAcentral.
GCGCCUAUAGCUCAGUUGGUAGAGCAGCUCCCUUUUAAGGAGACGGUCGUGGGUUCGAAUCCCCCUGGGCGCAC